AUGAACGCUAGCGGCAGGCUUAACACAUGCAAGUCGAGGGGUAGCAGGGAGCUUGCUCCGCUGACGACCGGCGAACGGGUGCGUAACGCGUAUAGAAUCUACCUCUUACUAAGGGAUAGCCCAGAGAAAUUUGGAUUAAUAUCUUAUAGUAUGUUAACUUGGCAUCAAGAUAACAUUAAAGGUUACGGUAAGAGAUGACUAUGCGUCCUAUUAGCUAGAUGGUGUGGUAACGGCACACCAUGGCAACGAUAGGUAGGGGCCCUGAGAGGGGGAUCCCCCACACUGGUACUGAGACACGGACCAGACUCCUACGGGAGGCAGCAGUGAGGAAUAUUGGACAAUGGAGGCAACUCUGAUCCAGCCAUGCCGCGUGCAGGAAGACUGCCCUAUGGGUUGUAAACUGCUUUUAUACAGGAAGAAACACUCUCACGUGUGAGAGCUUGACGGUACUGUAAGAAUAAGGAUCGGCUAACUCCGUGCCAGCAGCCGCGGUAAUACGGAGGAUCCAAGCGUUAUCCGGAAUCAUUGGGUUUAAAGGGUCCGUAGGUGGAUAAUUAAGUCAGAGGUGAAAUCCUGCAGCUCAACUGUAGAAUUGCCUUUGAUACUGGUUGUCUUGAGUUAUUAUGAAGUAGUUAGAAUAUGUAGUGUAGCGGUGAAAUGCAUAGAUAUUACAUAGAAUACCAAUUGCGAAGGCAGAUUACUAAUAAUAUACUGACACUGAUGGACGAAAGCGUGGGGAGCGAACAGGAUUAGAUACCCUGGUAGUCCACGCCGUAAACGAUGGUCACUAGCUGUUCGAACUUCGGUUUGAGUGGCUAAGCGAAAGUGAUA
Molecule: ribosomal RNA, 831 nt
Filed under: uncultured Olleya sp.
Lineage: Bacteria; Pseudomonadati; Bacteroidota; Flavobacteriia; Flavobacteriales; Flavobacteriaceae
Description: bacterial SSU rRNA
Rfam family: Bacterial small subunit ribosomal RNA
Source: RNAcentral